This 515-nucleotide long non-coding RNA is filed under the name Macaca mulatta (Rhesus monkey). RNAcentral describes it as "lncRNA (ENSMMUG00000055232.1)". Lineage: Eukaryota; Metazoa; Chordata; Mammalia; Primates; Cercopithecidae. The record is from RNAcentral.
UUUUUCUCAAUUCAUUUUAUCUUUGACAGGGAAGGGUACCAAAUUAUUCCAUUUGAAGGAAUGGUACAAAUGACAGUAGACUGGUACAACUAACAGGGUAAAUAUGUAUCGGCCCCAUGGCCGUGGGGAAGCCAGUCUAGGCUUAGUUCUAAGUCAUCGCUGUCUCCUGGGAUGCACAUGUCACAGACACUUGGCCCAGCUGGGGCGGGGCGGGGACAGGGAAGGGGGACUAGGAGGACCACACCAACGGGGCAGGGAGGGGUACUUCCGUCUCGCGCACCCAAUUCUUGGCACCUGCCUAUUCCUUCAGGUCGUGAAUCUCAAAGAGGGCACUCAUAUGCUACAGCAUAAAAUUAUGUGCCUUCGUCCUGAGAUAGAGAAACUCUGUGGCUGACCUAAAGAGACUGAUUGGUCCCAUGGGUCUACAUCAUUUUCAAGUACAAGAAGAAGUGGGUAUGAAAAGUUUCAAGUUGUUUUAUUAGUCUUACUGGAAAUGUCACGACAACAUAUUUCAG